This 229-nucleotide unclassified non-coding RNA is filed under the name Hevea brasiliensis (rubber tree). Lineage: Eukaryota; Viridiplantae; Streptophyta; Magnoliopsida; Malpighiales; Euphorbiaceae. The record is from RNAcentral.
GCAAGUAUAUAGAGCUCAGUAUUAAACGGUUUACCUGAAUUUCAGCAGCCGUAGCCUUUUGUCUGAGUGGCCGAGAAAGAACACCAAUAAGCUCUGCAUGUUCCCCUAACACUGGGCUACCUUCCAUUCCCGGGAGACAACGGAUGUCAGCAAUCAGCAGUGCUUUAUUCAGAGAAUUAGGUGGGUAGCUGUUUGCGAUGGUUCCAACUGAUAUGCUAUUCGAAAAGUG